UGGGGAAUAUUGCACAAUGGGCGCAAGCCUGAUGCAGCCAUGCCGCGUGUGUGAAGAAGGCCUUCGGGUUGUAAAGCACUUUCAGCGGGGAGGAAGGCGGUGAGGUUAAUAACCUCAUCGAUUGACGUUACCCGCAGAAGAAGCACCGGCUAACUCCGUGCCAGCAGCCGCGGUAAUACGGAGGGUGCAAGCGUUAAUCGGAAUUACUGGGCGUAAAGCGCACGCAGGCGGUCUGUCAAGUCGGAUGUGAAAUCCCCGGGGUCAACCUGGGAACUGCAUUCGAAACUGGCAGGCUAGAGUCUUGUAGAGGGGGGUAGAAUUCCAGGUGUAGCGGUGAAAUGCGUAGAGAUCUGGAGGAAUACCGGUGGCGAAGGCGGCCCCCUGGACAAAGACUGACGCUCAGGUGCGAAAGCGUGGGGAGCAAACAGG
This 429-nucleotide ribosomal RNA is filed under the name Chloroflexota bacterium. Its description in RNAcentral is "Chloroflexi bacterium partial 16S ribosomal RNA". It matches the Rfam family "Bacterial small subunit ribosomal RNA", at positions 355 to 776 of the family's 1533-position model. Lineage: Bacteria; Bacillati; Chloroflexota. The record is from RNAcentral.